This 139-nucleotide long non-coding RNA is filed under the name Pogona vitticeps (central bearded dragon). RNAcentral's name for it is "lncRNA (ENSPVIG00000006399.1)". Lineage: Eukaryota; Metazoa; Chordata; Lepidosauria; Squamata; Agamidae. The record is from RNAcentral.
AUAUAAACUUGACAGUUGGCAUAAUCAUCCAAAUAAUAUAUAGCGGAAGCAGUGAAAGAGGAAAGGCAAAAAUCUAUCAUACCAUGUUGCACAGUAAUUCUUUAAAAUUAAGAACUGAAGAAGUUACUCAUAUUGACAG